Molecule: long non-coding RNA, 664 nt
Filed under: Papio anubis (olive baboon)
Lineage: Eukaryota; Metazoa; Chordata; Mammalia; Primates; Cercopithecidae
Description: lncRNA (ENSPANG00000047447.1)
Source: RNAcentral
GAUCCUCAACCUGUACAAUGUUUUCAAAAUCCAUACAUGUUGUAACACAUGUCAAUAUUUCUAACAAAUAAUAUUCCAUUGCGUUGAUCCAUCGUUUUGUUGAUUCAUUCAUCGGUUAAUGGACAUUGGUAGUGGUUCCACUUUUUGACUGUUAUGAAUAUUGAUGCUAUGAAUAUGCAUAUGAAAAGCCUCAUGGGAUCAAAUAGCAACUCUGCGCUUAACAUUGUGGGAAAAUGUCGUCCUGUUUUUCAAAGAGGCAGCACCACCCUUUCAGACUCCUCAGCAACGCCUGAGAGCUUCAGUUUCUUCCCAUCCUCCUCACGAAGUCUGACUGUAUGUCCUUCUAGAUGUAACGUGGAAUCCCAUUGGGAUUUGGAUUGACAUUUUCCUAAUGACUAAUGACGUUAAGCGUUGUUUGUGCACUUGUUAUUUGUGUUUAUUCUUGAGACAGAUAUGUCCUAAACCUCUUACUAAUUUGUAAUUGGGUUGUUUGUCCAAUUUACCUAAUUACCAGAUCACCAAUUGCCGAAUUAAGAAGUCCAAUUUGCCUAAAAGUCAAAAAAAUUUACCCCUAUGCUUUCUUCUAAUGUUUUACAUGUUUAGCUCUAACACUUACGUCUCUGAUGUAUUUUAUGUUUUCUUCUUUUGAAUAGCAUGAGUUAGG